CUUGACCUCGGAUCAGGUAGGGAUACCCGCUGAACUUAAGCAUA
Molecule: ribosomal RNA, 44 nt
Filed under: Stagonosporopsis cucurbitacearum
Lineage: Eukaryota; Fungi; Ascomycota; Dothideomycetes; Pleosporales; Didymellaceae
Also listed under: 6 other names
Description: partial 28S ribosomal RNA
Source: RNAcentral